This is a non-coding RNA of Malus domestica (apple), 1291 nucleotides long. Lineage: Eukaryota; Viridiplantae; Streptophyta; Magnoliopsida; Rosales; Rosaceae. The record is from RefSeq and is a predicted model, not a curated record.
UUCAUAUAGCCGACCCCACUUAGUGGGAAAAGGCUUUGUUGUUGUUGUUGUUGUUGUUGUAUAUGAUUGGAUGUCAUCCCCUUUUAGAGGAAAGAUGCAGGAGGGACAGCGGCACAGAUUGGCCUAAGAUUUCUCACAUUCCAAACUUCAUAAUUGAGACCUGAGACAAUACUUGGAUUGAAACUACGCAACUGGAACGAUGUAGUGCAGUAGGUGCAAGCAGAGGCCAGAAAUUAGGUAAACGAAUCUUCAGUUGCUAUGCUAGAUGAUAUUUCCAAGCAUUGUACUAUGACAAGUUUAAAUCUGCUAGAAGGUCUGCAAUAAUGGAAGAAAUUGAAAAAAAAAAUGGCCAUUGGCACGUUCUGGGAGGAGCUCAAUUUCUAUCCUGAUGUUCAAGCUGGAUCACUGAAACUUGAAUCGUUACGUUUGAACAAGUGGCCAUUGCUCAAGUCUCUGCCUCAUCAAAUUCAACACUUCACUUCUUUAACUGCUUUAUGUAUCGACUAUUUGAGGGAGUGAAGGCUUUACCAGAGUGGUUGGGUCAAAGCCAUGCAACACCUCACCAAUUUACUUCGCACUGAACUAAGCAACGACGCUCUUACUCAAAAAUGUGCAGUAGGUGCAAGCAGAGUCUAGCAAGCUCAUUGGACUUUGAUAUCACUCAUGAGAAUCUUCAAGGGCUUUUUUCGUUCAUCGAACUCACUAUGCCUUAGCGGUGGCAGGGUAUGCUGUCGAGGAUGUAAAAUUCUACCGGAUAGGAAAAGAAAAUGCUAGAGGAGAGCUUCUACUUGCUGUUGGCACUAAGUUGGAUCAUGUGAUUUCCCAAAUGUCUCGCGAGGAUGCUGAGAAAAAUACGAUGCCAACGAAUUCGGACUCAACUGUUCAUCCUUCUGCGGAUUAUCCUUCGUUCCACUGGCCCAGACUUGUUUCUCCUUGUGAUUUUAAUUCAGCAACUCUUCUCAACUGGCAUUUUCUUCGUUAGCUUCGAUUGACAAUCGAGAGUAACAACUUCUGACGAACCGGAGGACCUGUGGAGUUCCUCGAUUAGUGGCAUUGUGAAUCUGAAACUGUUGAACCAUUUUCAAUUUUUUUAUUUCUCACCAAAUUCUUUUCAAUUGCAUUGUUUCUUCAAUAUGUGAGAAGGAUUGAAAUUUGUUGUCUAUAUUUUUCUUAAGUUGUUUUGGUAUUAUAUUUGUAAGGGGAGCAUUGGGAUUCCGAUCAACACCCAUGCAUGGAUUCUCCCAACGUAUAAUCACGAUGAAAAAUUUAUAAUCCGGAUUGUUAAACUUUU